Long non-coding RNA from Oncorhynchus tshawytscha (Chinook salmon), 1074 nucleotides. The record is from Ensembl. NCBI's taxonomy places the organism in Eukaryota, Metazoa, Chordata, Actinopteri, Salmoniformes, Salmonidae.
CUGGCGUCUCAAUGUAUGGACUGGGGAAAAAAGCACGCGUCACCAUACAGCGCCCUCUGCGGGACCACGCACCAAUGAACUUGCAUUCUUCUGAACAGAAAACGUACUGCCACGGCGACAGAUGUCGUCGCUCCCCGGUGGUACUGGUGAUAACAUCAUCUAUGCCCUGCUGUGUGGUGGGGCCUUCGUUGGAGCUGUCGCCUAUACGUACAGCACUGUGACCACAGACCACGCCAGAUUCACCGACCGUGUAGCGGAUAUCAACGCUCGUCCCAAGACCGAGUGGGUUCCCAAACCAUGGCCCCCCAAGAGCAGGGAUGAGGAAGAGGAGGUGUAAAAGUAAAUUGCCUACACGUCAGGGGACUUUAUAGCCUACUGGACUGUUUGGAUGAAUCUGAAAAGGGGGAAAUCUCUUCUACUUUCCUGCUACGUCCCAUACAUUCAACUAUUGUCUGUUUCUGAAAGUUUCUCUGCUGGAUUUCUCUCUUAUUUCCCCAUUUUUGAUUUGAUGAACUCUUGUAUGUGGCCUCUUCCAGGAUGGAUUAAUGUUAAUGGGUACAUUUUCAAAUUAAAUGUGCACAAACCACCUUGGUUGUCUCUGUGUUAUUGUUGGAAUUUCCAGGUACUGGUAGCUUUGAUUGGAUGGUAAGAUUUGCCAUCUUUAUCCUCUCACCCUCUAGCCUCUGACCUGACCCUGUGUACCUUCACUAUGUCACUUUAAUUUUGCCUGCCUCCCUCUGUCGUUUUUAUUCUUCUUUCCCUCCCUUUCUGUCUUUGGGUUUGCAUGUGGUUCUGUCAUGAAUUCUCCUCUGCAGUGAUUUGCUUUGCUGGGGUUUCCCCCUUCUAGGUGGAGUGUGGUAUGAGCCGGAGGUGUGGUAAGAGGAAUGGCAUGGGCAUGUGUGACGUGGUGUAUGAUUGAGUGUGUAGUUGUGCACACGGCAGCUCAGGAUACAGAACUAGAUCAGAGCUGUACAGAUCAGAUAUGACUUAGAAAAAUGACUUUAUGUGAAUAUUCUGUUAUUGUAGGUGUUAUGUAGGGUAAUUCACAUGCUCUGUAAAUCCACUUAUUUCUUU